This 74-nucleotide transfer RNA is filed under the name Periweissella fabalis. RNAcentral's name for it is "Weissella sp. LMG 26217 tRNA". It matches the Rfam family "tRNA". Rfam says of the family: Transfer RNA (tRNA) molecules are approximately 80 nucleotides in length. The record is from Rfam by way of RNAcentral. Lineage: Bacteria; Bacillati; Bacillota; Bacilli; Lactobacillales; Lactobacillaceae.
CAGGAUAUAGCUCAAUUUGGUAGAGUGCUUUGUUUGGAACGAAGAAGUUGUAGGUUCAAGUCCUGCUAUCCUGA